GAUUUCUGGCUUGACGCGCCUGGCCCGCCUCGGUUACGAGUGUGAGUGCUGGUGCGCGUCUGCCAUCCUUCCAGAAAACGGCGUCGCCCUUCACUGGUGCGGCGUCGCGAUCUGGAUCUAUUACUUUGAAAAAAUUAGAGUGUUUCAAGCAGGCUUUAUGCUAUGAAUACAUUAGCAUGGAAUAAUAAUUUAGGACUUCGGUUCUAUUUUGUUGGUUUCUAGGACUGAAGUAAUGAUUGAUAGGGAUAGUUGGGGGUGCUAGUAUUCAGCGGCCAGAGGUGAAAUUCUCGGAUUCGCUGAAGACUAACUUAUGCGAAAGCAUU
Molecule: ribosomal RNA, 323 nt
Filed under: Filosa sp.
Lineage: Eukaryota; Cercozoa
Description: SSU rRNA
Rfam family: Eukaryotic small subunit ribosomal RNA (bases 105-323)
Source: RNAcentral